GGUUAAGCGACUAAGCGUACACGGUGGAUGCCCUGGCAGUCAGAGGCGAUGAAGGACGUGCUAAUCUGCGAAAAGCGUCGGUAAGGUGAUAUGAACCGUUAUAACCGGCGAUGUCCGAAUGGGGAAACCCAGUGCAAUUCGUUGCACUAUCGUUAACUGAAUACAUAGGUUAACGAGGCGAACCGGGGGAACUGAAACAUCUAAGUACCCCGAGGAAAAGAAAUCAACCGAGAUUCCCCCAGUAGCGGCGAGCGAACGGGGAGCAGCCCAGAGUCUGAAUCAGCUUGUGUGUUAGUGGAACGGUCUGGAAAGUCCGACGGUACAGGGUGAUAGUCCCGUACACCAAAAUGCACAGGCUGUGAACUCGAAGAGUAGGGCGGGACACGUGGUAUCCUGUCUGAAUAUGGGGGACCAUCCUCCAAGGCUAAAUACUCCUGACUGACCGAUAGUGAACCAGUACCGUGAGGGAAAGGCGAAAAGAACCCCGGCGAGGGGAGUGAAAAAGAACCUGAAACCGUGUACGUACAAGCAGUGGGAGCACCUUCGGGUGUGACUGCGUACCUUUGUAUAAUGGGUCAGCGACUUAUAUUCUGUAGCAAGGUUAACCGUAUAGGGGAGCCGCAGGGAAACCGAGUCUUAACUGGGCGUUAAGUUGCAGGGUAUAGACCCGAAACCCGGUGAUCUAGCCAUGGGCAGGUUGAAGGUUGGGUAACACUAACUGGAGGACCGAACCGACUAAUGUUGAAAAAUUAGCGGAUGACUUGUGGCUGGGGGUGAAAGGCCAAUCAAACCGGGAGAUAGCUGGUUCUCCCCGAAAGCUAUUUAGGUAGCGCCUCGUGAAUUCAUCUUCGGGGGUAGAGCACUGUUUCGGCUAGGGGGUCAUCCCGACUUACCAACCCGAUGCAAACUACGAAUACCGAAGAAUGUUAUCACGGGAGACACACGGCGGGUGCUAACGUCCGUCGUGAAGAGGGAAACAACCCAGACCGCCAGCUAAGGUCCCAAAGUCAUGGUUAAGUGGGAAACGAUGUGGGAAGGCACAGACAGCCAGGAUGUUGGCUUAGAAGCAGCCAUCAUUUAAAGAAAGCGUAAUAGCUCACUGGUCGAGUCGGCCUGCGCGGAAGAUGUAACGGGGCUAAACCAUGCACCGAAGCUGCGGCAGCGACACUAUGUGUUGUUGGGUAGGGGAGCGUUCUGUAAGCCUGCGAAGGUGUGCUGUGAGGCAUGCUGGAGGUAUCAGAAGUGCGAAUGCUGACAUAAGUAACGAUAAAGCGGGUGAAAAGCCCGCUCGCCGGAAGACCAAGGGUUCCUGUCCAACGUUAAUCGGGGCAGGGUGAGUCGGCCCCUAAGGCGAGGCCGAAAGGCGUAGUCGAUGGGAAACAGGUUAAUAUUCCUGUACUUGGUGUUACUGCGAAGGGGGGACGGAGAAGGCUAUGUUAGCCGGGCGACGGUUGUCCCGGUUUAAGCAUGUAGGCUGGUUGUCCAGGCAAAUCCGGAUAAUCAAGGCUGAGGUGUGAUGACGAGGCACUACGGUGCUGAAGUAACAAAUGCCCUGCUUCCGGAAAAGCCUCUAAGCAUCAGGUAACAUCAAAUCGUACCCCAAACCGACACAGGUGGUCAGGUAGAGAAUACCAAGGCGCUUGAGAGAACUCGGGUGAAGGAACUAGGCAAAAUGGUGCCGUAACUUCGGGAGAAGGCACGCUGGUGUGUAGGUGAAGUCCCUGCGGAUGGAGCUGAGACCAGUCGAAGAUACCAGCUGGCUGCAACUGUUUAUUAAAAACACAGCACUGUGCAAACACGAAAGUGGACGUAUACGGUGUGACGCCUGCCCGGUGCCGGAAGGUUAAUUGAUGGGGUUAUCCGUAAGGAGAAGCUCUUGAUCGAAGCCCCGGUAAACGGCGGCCGUAACUAUAACGGUCCUAAGGUAGCGAAAUUCCUUGUCGGGUAAGUUCCGACCUGCACGAAUGGCGUAAUGAUGGCCAGGCUGUCUCCACCCGAGACUCAGUGAAAUUGAACUCGCUGUGAAGAUGCAGUGUACCCGCGGCAAGACGGAAAGACCCCGUGAACCUUUACUAUAGCUUGACACUGAACAUUGAGCCUUGAUGUGUAGGAUAGGUGGGAGGCUUUGAAGCGUGGACGCCAGUCUGCGUGGAGCCAACCUUGAAAUACCACCCUUUAAUGUUUGAUGUUCUAACGUUGGCCCCUUACCGGGGUUGCGGACAGUGUCUGGUGGGUAGUUUGACUGGGGCGGUCUCCUCCCAAAGCGUAACGGAGGAGCACGAAGGUUAGCUAAUCCUGGUCGGACAUCAGGAGGUUAGUGCAAUGGCAUAAGCUAGCUUGACUGCGAGCGUGACGGCGCGAGCAGGUGCGAAAGCAGGUCAUAGUGAUCCGGUGGUUCUGAAUGGAAGGGCCAUCGCUCAACGGAUAAAAGGUACUCCGGGGAUAACAGGCUGAUACCGCCCAAGAGUUCAUAUCGACGGCGGUGUUUGGCACCUCGAUGUCGGCUCAUCACAUCCUGGGGCUGAAGUAGGUCCCAAGGGUAUGGCUGUUCGCCAUUUAAAGUGGUACGCGAGCUGGGUUUAGAACGUCGUGAGACAGUUCGGUCCCUAUCUGCCGUGGGCGCUGGAGAAUUGAGGGGGCUGCUCCUAGUACGAGAGGACCGGAGUGGACGCAUCACUGGUGUUCGGGUUGUCAUGCCAAUGGCACUGCCCGGUAGCUAAAUGCGGAAGAGAUAAGUGCUGAAAGCAUCUAAGCACGAAACUUGCCCCGAGAUGAGUUCUCCCUGAGACUUUAAGUCUCCUGAAGGAACGUUGAAGACGACGACGUUGAUAGGCCGGGUGUGUAAGCGCAGCGAUGCGUUGAGCUAACCGGUACUAAUGAACCGUGAGGCUUAACCUU
RNAcentral lists this ribosomal RNA (2898 nucleotides) under Klebsiella pneumoniae. RNAcentral describes it as "23S ribosomal RNA". It matches the Rfam family "Bacterial large subunit ribosomal RNA". The record is from RNAcentral. Lineage: Bacteria; Pseudomonadati; Pseudomonadota; Gammaproteobacteria; Enterobacterales; Enterobacteriaceae.